UUUAUUGGAGAGUUUGAUCCUGGCUCAGGAUGAACGCUGGCGGCGUGCCUAAUACAUGCAAGUCGAGCGAAUGGAUUAAGAGCUUGCUCUUAUGAAGUUAGCGGCGGAC
Molecule: ribosomal RNA, 109 nt
Filed under: Bacillus anthracis (anthrax bacterium)
Lineage: Bacteria; Bacillati; Bacillota; Bacilli; Caryophanales; Bacillaceae
Also listed under: 6 other names
Description: partial 16S ribosomal RNA
Rfam family: Bacterial small subunit ribosomal RNA
Source: RNAcentral